RNAcentral lists this ribosomal RNA (471 nucleotides) under uncultured bacterium. RNAcentral's name for it is "SSU rRNA". It matches the Rfam family "Bacterial small subunit ribosomal RNA", at positions 26 to 518 of the family's 1533-position model. The record is from RNAcentral.
AGGAUAAACGCUGGCGGCGUGCCUAACACAUGCAAGUCGAACGCGCUUUCGGGCUUCGGUGCGAGAGCGAGUGGCGGACGGGUGAGUAACACAUGGGUACCCACCUUGGAGUGAGGGAUACCGGCGAGAAAUCGCCGACAAUACCGCAUAGGCUUCUUCACAAGGGAAGCAAAGUGACGCGAGUCACGCUGUGAGAUGGGCCUGUGGCCGAUUAGCUAGUUGGGGGGGUAACGGCUUCCCAAGGCGACGAUCGGUAGCUGGUCUGAGAGGACGAUCAGCCACACUGGGAUUGAGAACGGCCCAGACUCCUACGGGGGGCAGCAGUGAGGAAUUUUCCGCAAUGGAGGCAACUCUGACGGAGCAACGCCGCGUGCAGGAGGAAGGUUUUCGGAUCGUAAACUGCUUUUCUCGGGGACGAGCAAGGACGGUACCCGAGGAAGAAGCCCCGGCUAACUACGUGCCAGCAGCCGC